This 214-nucleotide long non-coding RNA is filed under the name Elaeis guineensis (African oil palm). Its description in RNAcentral is "long non-coding RNA (EGUI_LNC015637)". The record is from RNAcentral. Lineage: Eukaryota; Viridiplantae; Streptophyta; Magnoliopsida; Arecales; Arecaceae.
UGCGCGAAUCUGAAAUCCCUAUGAUGCUGCUGAAGCUUGCCCUAAAGGUACCACAGACGAUGUUGGACAAAGUGGGGUUGGUCUCAUCCGUCUAGUCAACAUCGGACAGUCCACCUCUCUCUGUAUCGCUGCACACCGAAUUGAAACCAGCGGCGGGCAAACGGAGCCAAAACGAUCAAAGUUGGAAAAAGGGCCUUGGGCAAAGAGGAGACCG